Molecule: non-coding RNA, 629 nt
Organism: Ictidomys tridecemlineatus (thirteen-lined ground squirrel)
Lineage: Eukaryota; Metazoa; Chordata; Mammalia; Rodentia; Sciuridae
Source: RefSeq, a predicted model, not a curated record
AAGAUAAGCAGUUUUGCUUUAGCCAUGUGUUCCUACCAUUAUGUGCUGCAGCCUCACCAAAGACUCAAAUCAACAGGACCUACCAAUCAGGAACUAGGACCUCGAAAACUAUUCCUCCACAAGUCGACCUUGAGACAAGAAUUAGAAUGCAAGAAAUUUAUUUGGGAGGAGAAGAAAGCACCAGUAAUGGAAGUGAGGAACUGAAAUAGGGAAAUAUGCAGUCAAUAAAGGGAGCAGAAUCAAGUCAACUGAGCUUAAGCCCAAUACGAAAAUUCUGACAGCAGAGAGAAAAUAACCUUUCUUCUGUUUUGAAACACAAACUUGAUUUUGUGGGAUUUUUGUGCAGGAUGAAGUCAGGUAUCCUAAUUUUAUUUUCCUGGAAAUGCUGAAUGAUUUCUUCAACUCUACAAUAGCAGAGGCCUAUGCCACUUUUAGUUGAGCAUGGGAAAUUUAUAUUGCACACAAUAUAUGUACUGCCAAUUUGCCUUUAUAAUGGUAUAUAAAAUUGUAUUGAGUAAGCAAUCUUGGAGAAUUUUCUCUAUUCCAUAUUUAGGAAGAAACAUUUGAUUUUGUGCUGUCAGAUUGAUGUUAACAAUAUUAGAAUAUUAAAAUGUAUGCUGUCAUCUUUA